CCUUGCCCGUUGGUAUUCCAACCCCUCACCAAACCCUUAAACCCUAUUUUUUUUUUUUUUGUUUAUUUCUUCCUUCUUUUCUUUUCUUUCUUUUCUCCCUCUUCUCUUUUCUCUCUAUCUCUCAGCCUCCAACAAUAUCUCUUCCCUCUUCACCGAAUCACAAAACCUUAGCCACCAUCCUCUCCCCUCUUACCUUUUUCACCACGCCUCACCUCUCAUUUCUCCACCACCGGAGAAUCACCCACCUCCACCGCGAACCAACCCCUUCUCUCCCUCUAUAUUUUCCGGUGCCACUUCAAGCGUUGCUGUCUCUGUAAGAUCCGAUGAAGCGCUUGGCCCCAUUGACCGAGCCUCCUCCUUCAAUCACGAUUUUCAUCUUCGUCUCAGUCUCUCUCUUUUCUGACCGUUUUACGACCAAGGAGAAGCUGCUGUUGAAACUUCCAGUGAUCUCUGCAACUUCUGGCGACUUUCCCGCCGUCUUUAGUCAUCUUCUCUGGCCAAAAAUUCCGGCCAAGUCUCCUUUUCUUCUAUUGAUUCUCAUCUCUCUCGGAUGCAGUGGAGGAAAUCUAUAGCCAGAAAAGGGAAGAGAGUUAUCUAGCCUCCACAGCCACCUCUUUCUCCAGAGAGGGAGUCUAUUUCUUCUGAGUCUGUGGCAGUUGGAUCAUCCUCUUCUACUGUAUCCUCAUCUAGUGCCUCUUUCAGUGCACACUCUAUGGAUCCUCAGGCCCCCGUUGUCAGAGCAGUGUCGAAUCCAUACUUUUCUAAGAGAGAGUGGGAUCCAGAGUAUACAUUUGUCACUUACUUCUUCUCACGAUCUAAGCAGACUCGUUGGGCAUAUGAUGAGAUAGAUCGUCGUGGUAUAACAUCUAUUCUUUCGCCGGUGAACGAGAAGGUGUACCCACGGUUGGUAGCUUUUUCUUCCAACAGCUUCGUCGGGAUGAGGUUGACCCCCAGGUCUUUCAUACUACAGUGGAUGGGCAGGACAUUAUCAUUUCUACAGCUACCAUAGAGAUAGCUUGCAGAUGCCCCUACAUUCCUCCAGUGGUCACAGAGUCAGAGCAGGCAUUGUACCCUCUUAUCAUAGAUUAUCCUUUGGACCAGGACAUAGCUGCAUCUCUCUCUCCUCAGACAACCCAUCUAGGCAACACCUUUGCAGAGCAGGUUGAUCCCCUACCCCGACUAUAGUUUAUUGAUACAGUGCUAUUCCGUAAUGUUUUUCCGUCAGGGCAUAACACAUAGAGGCGAAUGGGGUUCUUGAAGGCUCUUUAUAGUAUUAACAUGGGAUGUUGGCUAUCAUUUCCCUCACUCAUAUGAGACAUGUUCCAUAAGUACUGGGAUAAUUUAGUGCUUAAGCUAAAUGAAAAAGUCCAAGUCCCGGUCUCUCCCCUUUGCUGAUUUGAUCACACAGCUUCUGGAAAACCAGCGCUUCAGAUUUGACCCAGCAGAGGAGCCAGAACAGCCUAACAGGAGGUAAAGUGCAACUCAGUGAAAGAAGAGUUAUUAUGCCAUUCAGACUAGUCUGAGAAUGACUGCAAAGAAGAGGCUCAGACCUACAGAUUCACAAGAUGGAUCCCCGUCCUCUUCUGGAGCUCGGACUUGACCGCGCACCUUUUCCACAUCCCAGUGACAGUAGGAGAUAUCCAUCCCACCCCAUUCUUAGCCAGGAUCCUCUUAUGUUCCACCUCUAGAUCCGACAGGCCCACCCUCUCAGCAUGCUAGUUCAGACUCUAGUCUUCGAGGCAAGCUGACUCAACUUCAGUCAAACUUCAGAUCAUUCGAUGCCCGUAUGGGACAAAAAGCUGACGAUCUCGAGAGAGGUGUCACAGAUGUAAGGAGGAACAUUGCACUACUCCAUACAGAGAUGAUUAGCUUCUGCGGGGAGGUUGCAAACAUGUUUCAGCACCUCACAGACUUACUUGAACCACCACCUGAUGUUAUUCCAUGAUUCCACCACUUCUCUCUUAUUUACUCAUUUAUUUACCUGUUUUUGAUACUAUUUGAUACUUUUUGCCUGGUUUUGGAUCUUGAUUUUUGGAUAUUUUAUUUGGAUAUUGGUUUUUGAUAUUUGCCUUGGAUUUUGGAUAUUUGAUUCUGAUAUAUGCAUGUAAUGUUUCUAAUU
Long non-coding RNA from Cornus florida, 2119 nucleotides. RefSeq lists it as uncharacterized. The record is from RefSeq and is a predicted model, not a curated record. NCBI's taxonomy places the organism in Eukaryota, Viridiplantae, Streptophyta, Magnoliopsida, Cornales, Cornaceae. The transcript has 2 exons.